GACGAACGCUGGCGGCGUGCUUAACACAUGCAAGUCGAGCGGUAAGGCCCUUUCGGGGGUACACGAGCGGCGAACGGGUGAGUAACACGUGGGUGACCUGCCCUUAGCUCUGGGAUAAGCCUGGGAAACUGGGUCUAAUACCGGAUAUGACUCCAUGACGCAUGUUGUGGGGUGGAAAGCCUUGUGCGGCUAGGGAUGGGCCCGCGGCCUAUCAGCUUGUUGGUGGGGUGAUGGCCUACCAAGGCGACGACGGGUAGCCGGCCUGAGAGGGCGACCGGCCACACUGGGACUGAGACACGGCCCAGACUCCUACGGGAGGCAGCAGUGGGGAAUCUUGCGCAAUGCGCGAAAGCGUGACGCAGCAACGCCGCGUGGGGAAGACGGCCUCGGU
Molecule: ribosomal RNA, 391 nt
Filed under: uncultured bacterium
Lineage: Bacteria
Description: bacterial SSU rRNA
Rfam family: Bacterial small subunit ribosomal RNA
Source: RNAcentral